GACGAACGCUGGCGGCGUGCUUAACACAUGCAAGUCGAACGGAAAGGCCCUGCUUUUGUUGGGUUCUUGAUUGGCGAACGGGUGAGUAACACGUGAGUAACCUGUCCUUGUCUUUCUGAUAACUUCUGGAAACUGGGGCUAUUACCCGAUAGGAGCUCCUGCUGCAUGUUGGUGGUUGGAAAGUGUCGGCGGUUGGGGAUAGACUCGCGGCUUAUCAGCUUGUUGGUGUGGUAGGUACUUACCAAGGCUUUGACGGCUAGCCUGCCUGAGAGGGUGACCGGGCACAUUGGGACUGAGGUACGGACCAGACUCGUAUGGGACGCAGCAGUGGGGAAUAUUGCGGAGUGAGGGGAAGCCUGAUGCAGAAACGCCGCGUGCGGGAUGACGGGCUUCGGGUUGUAAACAGAUGUCGCAUGUGCCGAAGAGUGAGUGACGGUAAUGGGUAAAGAAGCACCGGCUAACUACGUG
Molecule: ribosomal RNA, 468 nt
Filed under: uncultured bacterium
Lineage: Bacteria
Description: partial 16S ribosomal RNA
Rfam family: Bacterial small subunit ribosomal RNA
Source: RNAcentral